AUUGAACGCUGGCGGCAGGCCUAACACAUGCAAGUCGAACGGUAACAGGAAGAAGCUUGCUUCUUUGCUGACGAGUGGCGGACGGGUGAGUAAUGUCUGGGAAACUGCCUGAUGGAGGGGGAUAACUACUGGAAACGGUAGCUAAUACCGCAUAACGUCGCAAGACCAAAGAGGGGGACCUUCGGGCCUCUUGCCAUCGGAUGUGCCCAGAUGGGAUUAGCUAGUAGGUGGGGUAACGGCUCACCUAGGCGACGAUCCCUAGCUGGUCUGAGAGGAUGACCAGCCACACUGGAACUGAGACACGGUCCAGACUCCUACGGGAGGCAGCAGUGGCGAAUAUUGCACAAUGGGCGCAAGCCUGAUGCAGCCAUGCCGCGUGUAUGAAGAAGGCCUUCGGGUUGUAAAGUACUUUCAGCGGGGAGGAAGGGAGUAAAGUUAAUACCUUUGCUCAUUGACGUUACCCGCAGAAGAAGCACCGGCUAACUCCGU
RNAcentral lists this ribosomal RNA (489 nucleotides) under uncultured bacterium. Its description in RNAcentral is "partial 16S ribosomal RNA". It matches the Rfam family "Bacterial small subunit ribosomal RNA", at positions 30 to 506 of the family's 1533-position model. The record is from RNAcentral.